This is a long non-coding RNA of Sus scrofa (pig), 7091 nucleotides long. RefSeq lists it as uncharacterized. The record is from RefSeq and is a predicted model, not a curated record. Lineage: Eukaryota; Metazoa; Chordata; Mammalia; Artiodactyla; Suidae.
GAUGUGGCUUGGAUCCUGUGUUGCUGUGGCUCUUGCAUAGGCCAGCGGCUACAGUUCCCAUUGGACCCCUAACCUGGGAACUUCCAUAUGCUAUGGGUGCAGCCCUAAAAAAAAAAAUGUUACAUUAGAAAAGGCAUUAUCAGAAGACUGAUUGAGGAACAAAAAUCAUAUGAGACAUUCAGAAAACAGGAAAACAGAAGUCUUGUAUAUCAGUAAUUACUUUGAAUAAACUUACAAAUUGAAAGACAGAUGCAGCAUUAUGGAUUUUUAAAAAACUUUAUGCAAUUAUAUGCUGCCCAGAGACUCAUUUUAUACCUACUGUCACAAAUAGGUUCGAAGAUAAGUGGUGGAAAAAGGUAUUCUAAGUGAAUAAAUAGCAACCCAAAGAGAUCUGGAAAGAGCAUCAAGAUGGUGGAGUAGUAGAACGUGGAGCUCACCUUCUUCUACAAACACAUCAAAAAUACUUCUCUGUGUGGAAUAAUUCUCACAGAAAACUAACCUGAAAUUGGCAGAUCUCCUGUACAACCAAAGCAGUGAGAAAGAUCAACAUAUAACCAGAUUGCAAAACCCGACCCUCAAAUUCAUAUGAAAUUUCAAGGGGCCCAAAUAAUCAAAACAACAUUGAAAAAGGAAAACAAAGUUUGAAGACUCAAACACCCCAAUUUGAUCCAUGAGGACACAGGUUUGAUCCCUGGCCUUGCUCAGUGGGUUAGGGAUCUGGCGUUGCCAUGAGCUGUGUUGUAGGUCACAGACAUGGCUCAGAUCUGGCCUUGCUGUGGUGUAGGCCACUGGCUACAGCUGAUUCAACCCAUAGCCAGGGGACUUCCAUAUGCCACGGGUGUGGCAUGGGUUUGAUCCCUAGCUCUGGUAUCAAAAUGCUGCAGGUAUGGCAAAAAACCCCCAAACAGCUAAGUAAGUGAAGAGACAUAUUGUGCUUAUGGAUUGGUAAAAAUUUCAAUUUUUUCCCAAAUGAUAUAAAAGUAUGUAAUGCAAUUCUAUCAAAAUCUAAGCAGGACUUUUGAAAAAACAGGCUGACUCAAAGUUAUAUGUAAACAAAGGAAUUAGGAUAAAGCAAUUUUGAGAAAGAAGGAUAAAGGGAGAAGUCACCAUGUAGCUACCGUAAUGAAGACAGUGAGGUGUUAGUAGAGGGAGAGAUACAUGAGUCAGUGGAACAGAACAGAGUUCAGAAACAGACUCACAUGAGUAGGCCACUUGAUCUUUUACAAAAGUACAAAACAACUAAAUAGAGAAAUGAUAAAUUUAACAAAUAGUGUUGAAAAAAUUAGACAUCAUAGGUUUAAAAAAAAAGAAAAAUGAACCUUGACUUAAAUCUUAGACUAGGUAAUAGCCAUAUUAAACUUUAAAAUGUGCAUCCAGGAGUUCCCGUCGUGGCUCAAUGGUUAACGAAUCUGACUAGGAACCCUGAGUUUGUGCGUUCGAUCCCUGGCCUUGCUCAGUGGGUUAAGGAUCUGGCAUUGCCGUGAGCUGUGGUGUAGGUUGCAGACGCGGCUCGGAUCCCACGUUGCUGUAGCUCUGGUGUAGGCCAGCGGCUUCAGGUCCGAUUCGACCCCUAGCCUGGGAACAUCCAUAUACCAUGGGAGCGGCCCAAGAAAUGGCAAAAAGACAAAAAACAAAACAAAACAAAACAAACAACAACAAAAAAACCCACUUAAAAUGUGCAUCCAGAAACUUACUUUUUUUUCUUUUUUGGCUGCCCUGCAGCAUAUGGAGUUCCUGGGCCAAGGAUCAGAUUCAAGCCAUAGUUGUAGUAAUGCAGAAUUCUUAAUCCACUGUAUUGGGCUGGGGAUUGAACCUGUGUCCCAGCGCUCCAAGAUGCCCUGGCACCACAGCAGGAACUCCAAUAUAUUUAUAAUGCAAAUAUUUGACAAAUGAUUUGUAACCGGAAUAUAUUAUAACACUAAAAAUAAGAAAAAUUUAAUUACCCAUUAGGGCUACAUCCAGUGGCAGUAAGGUAAGUUUGUCUCUGCUUCACCAACAGGGUAGUGUCAAGUUGGAUGAACUUCCACGCUGGCUCAAAAGCAAUGAGGUAGAAUUAGGUGGUUCCCAGGCAGUGUUGUUCACCAAUCAGCUUUGUACCUUCCUCCAUGUUAUCAGGACCCAAUGCUGAACUUCCAACGCUACUCAACAAACUGUAGCAACUGGGUGGUGCUAGCUGAUGCUCUGUUUUCCCUCCUUCAUCCUCCCCACCUGUUCUAACUAGGCUGAAUAGAGAGCUUAACUUUCAUGCCCAUCCAGUGAAAAUGAGGUGGGUGUCAGUGCUCUACUUUUGCUUGAGUGGAAUCUGUGGAGCUCAUUAGGGUGCAGAAUAUCCACUCCAACCUGGAUUUCCUAGCUACACCUACAAAGGGUGACUGCCUACAAAAUAGAAGGAUAAAGAGGACCUAUUCUGUUGAUACCCAAAAUGUCCAGAAUAGAACUAAAAAUCCUUCAUCAUAUGAAACAAGAAAAUCUCAAGCUGAAUGGAAAAACAAGACAUAUCAACACCAUGAUGACUAAUUUAUCUGACAAAUUCAAAACAGUAAUCUUAGAAAUUCUUCAGUGAUGGAGUUCCCAUCAUGGCUCAGUAGUUAACGAAUCCAACUAGGAACCAUGAGGUUGUGGGUUCGAUCCCUGGCCUCACUCAGUGGGUUAAGGAUCUGGCAUUGCCGUGAGAUGUGGUGUAGGUCACACAUUGCUGUGGCUCUGGCGUAGGCCAGCAGCUACAGCUCAGAUUACACCCCUAGCCUGGAAACCUCCAUAUGUCGUGGGUGCGGCCCUAGAAAAAGACAAAAAAAAAAAAAAAUCUUCAAUGAAUAAAUUAUGUACCCACUUGAAACAAAUGAAAAAAAAAUAAACUUAGCAAAGAAACAAGACCAAAAUGGAAUUUGUGUGUACAUCUUUUUAGGGCCAUACCUGUGAUACGUGAAAGUUCUCAGGCUAUGGGUCAAAUCAGAGCUACAGCUUCUGGCCCAUACCAUAGUCACAGUAAUGCCGAUCCAAGCCACAUCUUCAUCCUAUGCCAUGGUUUGUGGCAACGCUGGAUCCUUAACCCACAGAGAGAGGCCAGGGAUUGAACCAGCAUCCUCAUGGAUACUAGUCAGGUUCGUUACCACUGCGCCACAAUGGGAACUGCAAAAUGGAAUGUUCUUAACUUAAAAAUAACAGUAACCAGGAGUUCCCAUCGUGGCGCAGUGGUUAACGAAUCCGAUUAGGAACCAUGAGGUCGCGGGUUCGAUCCCUGGCCUUGCUCAGUGGGUUAAGGAUCCAGCAUUGUGCCAUGAGCUGUGAUGUGGGUCGCAGACAUGGCUCAGAUCCGAGUUGCUGUGGCUGUGGUGUAGGCUGGUGGCUACAGCUCCGAUUCGACCCCUAGCCUUGGAACCUCCAUAUGCCACGGGAGCGGCCCAAGAAAUGGCAAAAAGACAAAUAAUAAUAGUAAUAAUAAUAAUAAUAAUACAGUAACCAAAAUAAAAGACUCAAUGGAUGUGCUCCAGAGAAUGGAGGGGACAGAGGAAAGUACACGUGAACUGAAGACAGAACAAGAGCAAUUACCCAAUAUGAACGGAGAGGAAAAUAUCCUGAGUUCCAGAAAUAAAGGAGAAAGUGUGAGGCUGAUAAAGCAUUCAAAGGAAUAAUGGCAAAAAAAUCCAACUUUGGCAAUAAAUAUAAACCUACAUAUUCACAAAACUGAGCAAACCCCUAACAAGAUAAAUCCAAUGAACUCCAUGCCCAGACACAUCAUAAAUAAACUUGCAGGGGGGAAGAAAAAAACCAAAAACAAAGCAGCCAGAGAGAAAUGACACAUUAACUCCAUGGAAACAAUGGUUUAAAUGAUAGAUUUAAGACCAGAAGGAAGUAGCACAUUUUCCAAGUGCUGAAAGAAUUGUCAACCCAGAACUCUGUACCAGCAAAAAAGAUUCUUCAGCAGUGGAGGAAAUGAAGACCUGCUCAGUUGAAGGAAGACUGUCAGGAGAUCUACUCUUAAGAAACUUCAUCAAGCAGAAGAGAAAUGAUAAAGGAAAUAUGGAGUAUCAGUCAUGGGGAAAGAACAACAGUAAAAAUAUGGGUACAUUUAAUAGAUUAUAUUUCUCCUGUUGUUUCCAAAAUUAUGUUAGAUGGUUGAAUAAAAAUGACUAAUUAUGUCCUGUAGUUCUUCAGGUAUAUGGAAGAAAGAAACAUUUAAGAUAACUAUACAAUGAAGUGGGGGAAAUUAAAGGACCUCAGAUAAGUUUUACAACUGAUUCAGUGAUGACAAACACAGAUUGUGAUGUGUAUAAUGUAAUACCUAGAGUAACUACUAAAAAGUUACACAAAGAGAUGUACUUAAGAGCCCUAUAGAUAAAUCCAAGUUGAAUUUUAAGGAGUUCCCUGGUGGCCUAGCAGUUAGGGAUUUGACAUUGUCAGUAGCUGUGGCUUGGGUUUGAUCCCUGGCCUGGGAACUUCUGCAUGCCAUGGGUAUACCCAGAAUAAAAAGCAGAAUUCUAAAAAAUUCUCAACCCACUGUAAGACAAAAAAAGUGAAACAAACAGAGGACCGAAAAAUAGAAAAAACAAAACCACCAAUAAAGUGGCAGAGAACGUUUGUAACAGAUUUGUAAUAGCAAAAAACUUUUGGAAACAACCCAAAUAUUUUUUAAUGCAUUAAUGAACCCAUGAUAUAUCAAUACCAUAAAAAUCUACUCAGAAAUAAUCCAAAAGAGAAAUUAUUGUAUCUGCAAUAAGAUUAAUCUCAAGGGAAUUACGCUGAGUGAAAAAAAGAAAUCGUAAAAGGUUAUAUAGUGAUUCCAUUUAUAGAACAUUCCCUAUAUGACACAAUUAUAGAGAAUAGAUUAGAAGUUGCAGGGAUUAGGAAUGGGGAGGAGGGGAGAGAAGGAUAGAUGUGACUUUGUAGGGGUAGAACAGGGAUCUUUGUGGUGUAAAUUCCAUAUCUUCAUUAUGAUGGUGGUAGUAACACAAACUUAGGCUAGAUAAAAUUGUAUAGAACUACAGACACACAUCCACAAGUGCGUGUGAAAUCUGAUAAGGCCUGUAGAUCACAUCAGUGACAAAUCUGAUAUUGUCCUAUAGCUAUGUAAAAUGUUACCAUUAAGGGAAACUGGACAUUGGAUACACUAACUAGUACCAUAGGGUAUAAUUUCUUCAAAUUUCUGUAAAUCUGUAAUUAUUUAUAAAUAAAAACAUUUUUGAAAGUUCCAGUAGAAAGAAAUAGACAAAAUACAUGGAGUAUUCACAGAAAAGGAAAUUUGAGCCAUACAUACAUAUAUAUUUGAAGGGCCUGAAUAUAAAACACCUGUGGUAUAGGAAGAAGUAAACUUUUACAUCCACUGGGCCCUUACCUGACACACAUAAAAGCACCAGCAUCUACAUCUCCAUUUAAGGAUCCAGAAACCAAAGAAAAAUUUGUUGAAAUACACUUAAGUUGCCUCUGCUCUGAUAAAGGUAACUCUCCUUGGCUUGAUAUGUUAGAACAUUACGUUUUACUGUAUGCACGAACGGUCUUUUCCCUUCAAUUUGAACACAACCGAAAUGUGGGUGAUUUUUUUUUUUCAACAAAUGGAGAGUCAAUUAUCUCAACAACUGAAUAGUUCUUUUGUUUCUUCACUGCUUUUGAGUAGGAAGGAACUCAUAUUUGAAAUAAAAAAAAAAAAACUGGACUCAAAACAAAUGCUAUAUACUUCUGAUUUGUAUUAUCCUAAUUAACAUUAUAAGGAGAGGGUAAGCAAUGUCUUAUCUUAAUUCAAAUUAGGUUUGUGUAUGAUUAAAGAUAAUGUUGAAUAAAUGUUAGUAUCUGAUCAAAAAUAAGAAUCCAUUUAAAAAUUGUUUCUGUUAGUCCAUGUUUUCUCUACACAUUUGAUUCUUGUUUUAGAGAAACAAGGAAAUUUAGAAUUAAAAAAACCAACAUAAUUUUGACAACAGAUUUGUUAAUACUGUCAUAUCUGCUUUCAUUUUAUUUAAGAAAUGUUAGACAUAAAUAUAACAACUGCCUCCACUUUCUAAAAGGCAACUAAUGUCAUAAAUGCAUCCAUGACCAAUACACAGUACUGUUCUUUGCACUGUUCCAUCAAAUUUAUAAAAAUGUUAUAUUUCAUUGUACAUUUUGCUUUUUUCCCUCAUGCACUGUAAUCUAUUGGUAAUGACAUAUCAAAUUUGUCUUUAAAUAUUGUGUUCUAUCAGAAACAAUCACAUUGUAUCAAACUAUCCCUCUACUAAUGGAAAUGUUCUGUUCAGUUUAGACUAAUACAAACCAUGAUGCAGUGAACAUGAGAUAUAUAUGUCUCUCUUUGUACAUAUGUUGGUGUCUUUGAACCCAAUACACUAAAAUAGAAUUGAAUGUUACAUAAUCAUGUAUUUUUAAAUAAAUUCUUUUACUCUAAUAGAUAUAGUCCAUUUUACUUUCAUUGUAGAUAAUGUAAUCUUACUUUUUAUAUUCUGGUCUUCAAUCUAUUUGGGUUUCUUUUUUUUUUGUAUAUGGUACAAAGUAGCUAAUAUUUGUUGUUUUUAUAAAUCUCCCAUUUAUUGAAUACCAUCCUUUCUCUAAUGAUUUUAAUAGCACUAUAAUACACAAAAUCCCUACAUCUCCUUCCUCCAGUUCUCAAUUUGUUUCCACUGAUUUACUCAUCAAGAACACAUUGUUUAGGAAUUCCCAUCGUGGCUCAGUGGGAUAAGAACCCAACUAGUAUCCAUGAGGAUGCAGGUUCAAUCCAUGGCCUCACUCGGUGGGUCAAGGAUCCAGCAAUGCUGUGAACCGUAGGUUGCAGACACGGCUUGGAUCCCACUUUGUGUUGCUGCGGCUGUGGCUGUGGCGUAAGCUGGCAGCUGCGGCUCUGAUUUGACAUCUAGUCUGGGAGCUUUCAUAUGGCAUGGGUGAGGCCCUAAAGAAAAAAAAGAAAAACACUGUUUAAAUGAUAAUUUUAAAUAAAUAUGUGACGAUAUAUAGUAGACUGUUUUUUUCACGUUUAUCUCAGCUAUUUGUGGUCCUUUACAUGUCUAUAUGAAAAUAUUUUUUCUUUUUUGGUUGCCCUGCUAUGUAUGGAGCUUCUGGGUGAGGGAUCAAGUGCAAGCCGUGGCUGCCACCUACACUGCAGCUCAGGCAAC